RNAcentral lists this non-coding RNA (30 nucleotides) under Homo sapiens (human). The record is from RNAcentral. Lineage: Eukaryota; Metazoa; Chordata; Mammalia; Primates; Hominidae.
UGGCAAAUAGGUAGAAGAAAAGACGUAUGU